GACGAACGCUGGCGGCGUGCCUAAUACAUGCAAGUCGAACGCAGUGGGGACGGGUGAGUAACACGUGGGUAACCUGCCAUAAAAGGGGAUAACACUUAGCAACAUGUGCUUACCCCCUACUGAUGGAUGGCCCCGCGGUGCAUUCGCUAGUGGGAGAGGUACCGGCUAACCAAGGCAACGAUGAAUAGCCGAGCUGAGAGGGGGAUCGGCCACACUGGGACGGAGACACGGCCCAGACUCCUACGGGAGGCAGCAGUAGGGAAUCUUCGGCAAUGGACGAAAGUCUGACCGAGCAACGCCGCGUGAGUGAAGAAGGUUUUCGGAUCGUAAAACUCUGGUGUUAGAGAAGCGGUACCUAACCAGAAAGCCACGGCUAACUACGUGCCAGCAGCCGCGGUAAUUC
This 403-nucleotide ribosomal RNA is filed under the name uncultured bacterium. RNAcentral's name for it is "partial 16S ribosomal RNA". It matches the Rfam family "Bacterial small subunit ribosomal RNA", at positions 28 to 526 of the family's 1533-position model. The record is from RNAcentral.